CUGGGACUGAGACACGGCCCAGACUCCUACGGGAGGCAGCAGUGGGGAAUAUUGCACAAUGGGCGAAAGCCUGAUGCAGCGACGCCGCGUGAGGGAUGACGGCCUUCGGGUUGUAAACCUCUUUCAGCAGGGAAGAAGCGCAAGUGACGGUACCUGCAGAAGAAGCACCGGCUAACUACGUGCCAGCAGCCGCGGUAAUACGUAGGGUGCGAGCGUUGUCCGGAAUUAUUGGGCGUAAAGAGCUCGUAGGCGGCUUGUCGCGUCGGAUGUGAAAGCCCGGGGCUUAACUCCGGGUCUGCAUUCGAUACGGGCAGGCUAGAGUUCGGUAGGGGAGAUCGGAAUUCCUGGUGUAGCGGUGAAAUGCGCAGAUAUCAGGAGGAACACCGGUGGCGAAGGCGGAUCUCUGGGCCGAUACUGACGCUGAGGAGCGAAAGCGUGGGGAGCGAACAGGAUUAGAUACCCUGGUAGUCCACGCCGUAAACGUUGGGAACUAGGUGUGGGCGACAUUCCACGUUGUCCGUGCCGCAGCUAACGCA
RNAcentral lists this ribosomal RNA (536 nucleotides) under bacterium 3e111009. RNAcentral's name for it is "bacterial SSU rRNA". It matches the Rfam family "Bacterial small subunit ribosomal RNA", at positions 313 to 859 of the family's 1533-position model. The record is from RNAcentral. RNAcentral also lists the same sequence under 1 other name.